GGUGCUAUAGCAAAAUGGUCAUUGCAAUAGUUUGCAAAACUAUUGAGUAUAGGUUCAAGUCCUGUUAGCGCCU
RNAcentral lists this transfer RNA (73 nucleotides) under Halisarca dujardinii. RNAcentral describes it as "tRNA-Cys". It matches the Rfam family "tRNA". Rfam says of the family: Transfer RNA (tRNA) molecules are approximately 80 nucleotides in length. Their secondary structure includes four short double-helical elements and three loops (D, anti-codon, and T loops). The record is from RNAcentral. Lineage: Eukaryota; Metazoa; Porifera; Demospongiae; Chondrillida; Halisarcidae.